UUGAGUGGAAGACACUUAACGGACUGAGCCACCCCAGGCGCCCCUCGCUGGCCACAUUUUAAGUGCUCGGAAGCUCUUGUGGCUGCUGGCUAUUGUGCUAUGCCGUGCAGAUAGAGAACAGUCCAGUCACUCCAGAAAGUUCUGCACAUGCUGUACAGUUCCCAGACUCUGCUCUCUUGCCUCGGUGCCACCGCUGGAGAUAGUCACAGGCCCUUGUCGUUCUUCUUCUCUUGGACUGCCUCCUGCUGUGCUAUUUGUAAAUGAGAAGAAACACGGAGGACGAGUGGUGACAAGCAGUUGCAAGUACGGAGUCUGUGAAAACAGCCUAGUUUCUCUGUUACCUGUGGCUCUUCCCAUAUUUCCACUGGCCCUAAACGACUGUUGAGACCACUUAUCCUCCGGGAACAAAGGCCUCCUUUCAUAGUCAAGGCACUGGCCACCUUGUGAACCUUACAGAAGCUGCAGGUUUUUAAAGAGUGCUCGUGUUUCCUGCUCCUGCUUCCCCUCCCUGCUUGAAGGGUAAAGCACUUUCUUCUGAGCUCUCAAUUCUCUUGAAUUCUCGGAAUCGGUUCAAAGGGCCCCCAUUUCUUCACGUCGAGCUUUGACCGCAAGACAGAUGAUUCAUCGAGAUUGAACGCCUUUCAGCCAGUGCAACUCAGCUCCCCUUUGCGAUCACCUGGGAGCUUGGAAAAGAUCCGGGUGCUCAGGCCCACCGAAGACCAGUGACAUCAGAGUCCCUAGGGCCGGGAGCGGGGCCUCAGCACUGUUCAUAGUCGACCACGGAUUCUGACGUGCGUCCCCGUCAUAAGGCAGCACCGGCAUAUGGAGAGCCACCGCACGGAAACUGAAAUAAAGCUGGCAUCUGGAAAAUCCUCAGAGAAUCCCUAUGCAAUGGACCCUUUUCUGUUCCUGAUGCGACCUUUCUGCCUCAAGAUGAGUCUUUUUCCCUGGCAUCCAACCCAUGUUAUAAUGGAGACCAGCGUCCCAGCAUCUUGCCUUAUGCACAGCAAUAAUAAAUUGAAGUGUGCCAGCUCAAUAGUGAGCAUUGGGAGUUCUGUUCAAGUGGAAAUCAGAGAAGACCUGUCCAUCACUGCUCAAAGAUAGAGGAGCUUAUUUAUUUGGACAUUCUACCCAACACAAGUGUCAAGGUAGUAGUAACGUGUCCACUUGGAGCCCAAAGCAGGUGCCUGCUCGAAGACAACUCCACCCUGCAAACCCUUUUCCCCUCCGGCCACCAAAUUAUGAAAUAAUAAUGCCGAGACCGUCAAGAGCAGGGUCAAGCAAAUGAUGUCAAGGACCCUGACAAGAAGGCAUGAAUGGCUCAACACAGAAAGAGACGUAUUUCAGUGGCAAUUGGCUACUGGACACUGUGUUCGUGCUCUCCUUGCAUUAUUAGCCCAUUUAAAGCUCGUAUCAGCUCCAGGGACAACGACCAGCAAAUCUUACCCAAUGGAGACACAACACUGCUAUUCACACCGAGUAUCCUCCCUUUCAUUCCUUAGACAGUCUACACCUGCACAUGUGCUCCUUUGUAAACUGAAGGUGAACCCGGUAAGCAAUAAACAGUAUGGACCUUCUAAUCAUUUCUCUAGUACUGAUGAAGUCUGCGGGUGGAAGGACGGAGUGACCCAGAAGAAGUAUGGUGCAAGCAUGGGAUUUUUGAUGGCUAUUGAACUGCUUGGCUCUGCUCUCAGUUUCCAUUGAUUUCUUGGCGUUGACAGGAUCUACUACUGCGAUGCUUUGUUUCAGAGAGCCACUUUUUUGUUUUUUGGCUUUUUUUUUUUUUUUUGAGAGCCAGUGUUUUAUUUUCCCUGCUGCGGCAUGUCCCUGGUGCAUAGGUCAUUUCCUGGAGACCUCAUCGUAGCCAGGAAACAGCCAAGAGUGAAGAAAUAAGCCAAAAUACCUCCAAGCAACUAAAAUAGAUAAUGGCCAAGUCUCCACUGUCCAAACACUUCAUAAAGAGGAAAGCCCUUUGGAGUUCUCUGCACAUAGUUCUAGUAAGCUCUAUUGUGUGAUUUUCUGGCAAAGCACUUUAAACAGCACGUGUGUUGGGAGGUUAGGAAAGAAGAGUUGCCAAAGGCUGGGACACUGGCAGCUAUGAAAAUGACAUCUGAUAGACUGCAAGAGAGAAAAAGACCAAAGAACAAAAAGAAAAGAAAAGAAAACCUAUAAAAACAGGAAUCAAGGAAUCAAAACUCAGAGAUGGGAUCAUGCCACAGAGAGGCAAACACCCCAUACGUGACCACUGGAUUCCCGCGUGGGAGAGAAAUUGACAUCCACCCGGAAGCCUGAGAUAAAAAGACUGGAACAAGGUAUGCUCAGCAAACUGUUGGAGAAGGCGGGAAGUAUGUGAUACAUUUUAGAAAGAUUUCUAGACAAAAUAGUUUUGCUACUGUUUUUGUGUUUAAAUGCGUAAAGUUCAGGGAGGGGAAAAAAGAUCUUUUACUUUUUAAGCAGUUAAAAAAAAAACAACCCUGUAACAGAAAAAAGAAAAUCGAUCCGGAAGUCAUUUAAAUAGGCCAGGUCUUCCCUAACCUGCUGGAUACAUUAGGCAUUCCCGUCUUUCAAACAAAGCAUGAAAAUCUCUUUAGAAGUGUCAUGUUCUGCAAAUAUCACUAUAACAGCGAUAAUAUGAUUCCCGAAGGAGAGAGACACACACAGAGAGACAGAGUUUUUUCCCAGCCACCUAUGCUCUGGAUGUUGACCUAGUUAUUAACAUAAUUCAUUCGGCUUUAACUUUACUUAUCAUUCAUCAGACUUACUUCCCAUGCACCUAGGUAAUAUUCCUAAUUUUCAUUUUGAUGGCUGCCAUGGCAGGUGGCAUGCCAUAUUCCAUGAUUCUAAAUGACUUCCAAUUUUACUAAUUAUCCAUAAGCAAUAAAGGAAGGAAGGAAGGAAGGAAGGA
This is a long non-coding RNA of Felis catus (domestic cat), 2905 nucleotides long. RefSeq lists it as uncharacterized. The record is from RefSeq and is a predicted model, not a curated record. The transcript is spliced from 6 exons. Lineage: Eukaryota; Metazoa; Chordata; Mammalia; Carnivora; Felidae.